Molecule: non-coding RNA, 34456 nt
Organism: Callithrix jacchus (white-tufted-ear marmoset)
Lineage: Eukaryota; Metazoa; Chordata; Mammalia; Primates; Cebidae
Source: RefSeq, a predicted model, not a curated record
GGGGGUGGGGGGAGGCAGGGAGCACGCGGACAAAGGAGGCGGCCGGCGGCCCAGCUGUUUUGAAAAAUGCUUCCUGUUUCUUUAAAGGCUCUCGCGGCUCGGGCGGCCGGGGCUGGGGAGGCGGUGGCGGCGGGAGCUGCCUCCUCUCCGGACGGCGGCGCUGACUGAUCUCGCGAACUGGGCUUCUGUGUAAACUGAGGCUAAACAAACACAGAUGGAGCGCAGCGGGCGUUCUCCAGAAAUGCUGGCAAGGCGGCAGCGACUUCAGAUGACACUCUGAGCGCUCCGGGAACGGACAGCCCGGCGGCUUCGCGGAGCCGGCAGCGCAGCUGCCCCGGGCAAGGGGGAGAAAGGGAGAGAGGGAGGGGGAGGCGGGCGAAGGGGGAGAGCCGAGACUCCUCGGCGCUGAGCGCGGCGGCGGCCCGGGCAGCCCCACGCCCCUGCCUCGCGCGCCGCCCGCGCCAUGAAGCACAUCCCGGUCCUCGAGGACGGACCGUGGAAGACCGUGUGCGUGAAAGAGCUGAACGGCCUCAAGAAGCUCAAGCGGAAAGGCAAGGAGCCGGCGCGGCGCGCGAACGGCUAUAAAACUUUCCGAUUGGACUUGGAAGCUCCCGAGCCCCGCGCCGUCGCCACCAACGGGCUGCGGGACAGGACCCAUCGGCUGCAGCCGGUCCCGGUCCCGGUGCCGGUGCCAGCCCCAGUGGCGCCGGCCGCUCCUCCAAGAGGGGGCGCGGACACAGCCGGGGAGCACGGGGGCUCCCGGGUGCCUGAGGUCUCCGACGCGCGGAAACGCGGCUUUGCCCUGGGCGCAGUGGGGCCAGGACUCCCCACGACGACGACGCCACCUCCCCCUGUGCCCCAGAGCCUGGCACCUGGGGGCGCAGAGACACAGCCUUUCCGAGAGCCGGGUCUGCGUCCCCGCAUCUUGCUGUGCGCACCGCCAGCGCGCCCCAAGCCGUCCGCGCCCCCAGCGCCGCCAGCGCCGCCAGCGCCCCCGGAGUCCACAGUGCGCCCCCCGCCCCCCGCGCGCCCCGGGGAAAGUUCCUACUCGUCAAUUUCACACGUAAUUUACAAUAACCACCCGGAUUCCUCUGCGUCGCCUAGGAAACGACCAGGCGAAGCGACUGCCGCCUCCUCGGAGAUCAAAGCCCUGCAGCAGACCCGGAGGCUCCUGGCGAACGCCAGGGAGCGGACGCGGGUGCACACCAUCAGCGCAGCCUUCGAGGCGCUCAGGAAGCAGGUGCCGUGCUACUCGUAUGGGCAGAAGCUGUCCAAACUGGCCAUCUUGAGGAUCGCCUGUAACUACAUCCUGUCUCUGGCACGGCUGGCUGACCUUGACUACAGUGCCGACCACAGCAACCUCAGCUUCUCCGAGUGUGUGCAGCGCUGCACCCGCACCCUGCAGGCCGAGGGACGUGCCAAAAAGCGCAAGGGAGGCAGCAAGGACUCAACUGACAAUCCACCGCCCCAGCCCUGCACGUGUGGAACCUACAUUCUAAUGGGUGGAAGUAACUCCAAGUAGGCCCUGCAGCAUCGUGGCGUGCAUGGAGUGACUGGCUACAGGAGAGACCGAGGCCACAGCUGUGAGCCCUCCUACCCAUCAGGCCUGAGGACAAGUAAUAGACCACCAAUUUCUAGUUGUGUGGACGGCCACUAGAAUGAAGACAAUGUAUCUCAGCUUCCUGUGGAGCUCUGCAAGGCUGUGAGACUGAGUUCUAGCCAAUGGGUGUGAACAGAAGAGGGCAAAAUAAAAACAGCGACCUUCAAUUUUCUCUGAUUCAUGAGCUAUUAACUCAACUUGAAGACACUAAGCUUCAAAAAAAAAAAAGCACUUGUGGCUACAAAAAUGCCAGUCCAGUGUCACCAAUUACCCAAGGGUGGCACCCUCAUCCUGCUGGAGAUGGUGCAUUGAUUGGCUGCUUCGAGAGCCCUUUUCCAACCUGGGAAACCUUCAGUUUAAGUUUAAACAUGAAGAUAGUGAAAUAAGGUAAGCCUUUAGAAGCAAAGCUUUCCUUUCAUGUUAAGUUUAGAAGUAAUCUGCAUAUGUUUGUUUCCUUAAAAUACUAUAAUAGUCUAAAGAAUCUAACAUAUUCAAGACCGACAGAUUAGCCUGUUGCCUCCAGUUUUAAAUAUGUAAUAGAAUUUAGACUUGUCAUGGAACCAACCUAAGUGUCCACCAACUGUGGAUUGGAUAAAGAAAAUGUGGUUUGUAUACCCCAUGAAAUACUCUGCAGCCAUAAAAAAAAGAAUGAAAUCAUGUCCUUUGCAGCAACAUGGAUGGAGCUGGAGGCCAUUAUCCUAAGUGAACUAACUCAGGCACAGAAAAUCAAAAACCUCAUGUUGUCGCUUGUAAGUAGGAGCUAAACCAUGGGUAUACGUGGACGUAAAGAUGGAGAUAAUAGACACUGGGGACCCCAGAAAUGGGGAGGGGUCUGAAUGGGAGGGGAGAAGGGGAGAAGGGUUGAAGAAUUGCCUAUUGCAUAUAAUGUUCAGUAUUUGGAUGAUGGGCACACUGGAAGCCCGGUCUCCACUAUUACGCGUGUAGUACCCAUGUAACGAACAAGUACAUGUACUCCCUGAAUCUAAAAUUAAAACACUUUUUUAAAAGAAUUUAGAAUUGUGAUUUUAAGUUGUAAAGGGAAAAAAUUCACCCCUAAUAAUAUUGUUGUAAAUAUUAUUAGGAUUUCAAAGAAAACUGAUGCUUUGCCAUUUUAAUACCAUUUUAUUUCUUAGAUUUAUAAGAAUUUGUUAUUUGAAGAUAUUUUGCUUGUUAAAGCCAUAAGUUUGUUUUGUUAGGUAACUGAAAUGCUUACAAAAGAAAUGUAAUAUAUUACAUUUAUAAAGCAGUUCAUGGUGUUUAAGAGAAUAUAAUUAAUUAAAUGUACAAAUGAUUAUUCAGGGAGCUGAGUAUCUUCAAGUUGAAUUAAUAGCUCAUUAAUCAAAGAAAAUUGAAGGUCAGUGUUUUUAUUUUUCCCCUUUUAUAAACAGAGUAACAAGAUUUGUAGUCUGAAUAUAACAGCUAAGGAUAACUAGGUAAUUUCAUUUUAAUGAAAGAACAUUAAUUUAAAACCUAAGCAACUAGAAGUGGUCCUUUCUGGACUGCCCUCAGACAUUAAAGCCAAAAGCAAAACAAUUCACAGCGACAGAUAGUAAUACGAAUAGCUAAUGUUUGCAUAGGGUUCUACAUUAAGGUGUGAUUUUAUCUUCCAUUACAGAUGAGAAGCUCGGGGAGGUUAGUAACUUGCUCAAGGCCAAGCGUCUAGGAAGUGGUGCAGGUUGAACUUGAGCUUGGCUCUUUGACUCCGGAGGCUGCACUCUUAACCACAGUGUUGGAGGAUGUUUGGGUCUUGGUUUCUAGGGUCUGCAGCUGAGGUCCCUGGAGAAGGGCUGACACUUCCCUGACAUACUCCAGUGAAUGCUGUUUGGUCAGCACUUCCACCUGCUCAACCUCUCUGGUGCUCAACAGAAGACGUGGGCAGAUCCUGGCUGCCUAGAUUUGAACCCCAAAGUACCACUGCAGGCUCUGCUAAUAGUGGGGAGCGGACAUCUGGCAGCACUUCUCCCAAGCAGUGAGAUAGCAGUGGUGGCAGGAGCAGCAGCAGCAGCUGGUGAGUACUGCCCCUGGUAACACCGUUUUCCCUUUCGCUUCCUGUAGGUAGAAAUUUGUAGGUAGUCUUACCUUCUUACAGCAAUUCUAGCACCUCUGUCGCCAAGGCUUUGCGCUGGAUUCCCUCUGUUUAACGUGUUUGCCAUCGUUUCCACUCUGCUGAUUGGGCGCUGCCUGAUACAGAUCUCAUUCUCUUGUUUGCUUGUUGUGCUCAGCUCUUUGAUUUCAAGACAGGUCCAUCUCGCACUGUAGACACCAGGUCCGUUGCUUCUCACUGCUGCAUAUACCAUGGAGCACGUGUUGGCCACAUUUACCUCCCCUCCCCCAGGGAUUGUUCAUUCAGAUUUCCGCCCAGUGAUAAACAGUCUUAAACAUGUUGUCUUUUUAGCCUUGUGUAAGAAUUCCCCAGGAAUAAAGUAUGUACCCAGGAGUGACAGUGCUUGGUCAUAGAGCAUAGCUAUGUCGUGUUCUAAGCACUGUAAGAUUGCACUCCAAAGUAGCCAUGUCCCCCACCCCCAUGAUGCUACAUUUAUUAUUCUGUAACUGGAUUUCCUUCACUUUAUAAAUGACAAAAAUUUGAACAGUUCCAACUGGGGAAAUUUAAGAAAAAAAUUGAGAUGCAACCUACAAUAAAAUAUGGAAACAACUGAAACUGUGUUUCGGAUAACAGCUUCUGGAGUCAGCCUACAAAGCCUGUCUACCAUUAGCUGUGUGACCUUGGGGUAAGAGCCUAACCUCCCUGUGCCUGCCUCAAUUUUCUCAUUGGCAAAAUGGAUAUAAUAAUAGUACCUGCCUUAUUUUAGGAUGUUAUUAAAUAAUGUACAUAAAGUGCUUAGAAUAUUCCCUGGCACACAGCAAGAACCCAAUGACUGUUAGCUAUUAUUGCUGAACAUUUAGGUAAUUUUCAGUUUUUUUGCUAUUUCUCAACAAUGCUCCAAUGACAUUCAGGAUUUUUUAAAUAGUGGUAAAAGACACAUAAUGUUACAUUUACCAUGGAAGUUCAGAAUUCUUAAGUGACCACCUGAGUACUCACACUGGAGCUCCGGCAGCAAACGCCAGCCUGGGUCUAACAACCUUCUGGCUUGGGACACUUGGAUCUCUUUACAAGUAACAGUAUCUCUAGAUUGCCUGUUCCAAUUGCUGCAUGGUCAAGGCCUGUGACUGGAUGUCCCCUUCCAGUGGUGUCUGGAUUUCUGCAUAGCCAUGCCCUGACCAGGGCCUGCUUGAGCUUCUGGGGUGGGUCCUAAUAUAUAGUCCUAAUCUCAGGUCAGGUCAGGGAAUGUCUGUGCACAGUUGCAUGACAUGAAAGGACAGCAUUGAUUCAAAUCCCUGCUCCAUGGCUUAGCAUCUGUGUGAUCUUCGGCAAGUGAUCCAACUCUCUGAGCUCUGUUGCCUCACCUGUAAAGUGGAAAUGAUACCUAUCUCACUGUGUUGCUGGGAAGAUUUUGAGAACUGCAAUGUGUCUUAGUCUGUUCAGGUUGCUCUAACAAAAUACCAUAGACAGCAGAUACUUAUUUCUCACAGUUCUGGAGGCUGUGAAAUCCAAGAUCAAGGCACUGCAGAUUCAGUGUCUGGUGAAGGCCUUGCUGGCUGGUUCAGAGACAAUGCCUUCUUGCCGUGUCCUCAUUUGGUAGAAGGAACAAGCUAGCUGUCUGGGGGCGUCUUUUAAAAGGGCAUGAACCCCAAUCAGCAGAGCUCCACUAGUAUGACCUAAUCACCUCCCAAAGGGAGUGCAGUUACUCAUAUGCCCAUUACCAAAGAACAGUCCUCUAUCAGGGAGAGUUGUCCUCUUCAGCCAAGCCCACAGCUUCAGGAGGGACGCAUGUGAAGUGGGGAGGGAGGAAGGGGACACUCACCUAGCCAGCCAGAUCAGCUGAAUCAACCCUGGUGAUCAAUGGCGCCACAGAUGUCGCAGCCAGAUCACCCUCACAUCCUACCAUGGUUUUGAUUUCUAUCAUUUCUUUUUGAUUCUUUCCUAGAUUUCUCAUCUCUCUGCUUAUAUUACCCAUCUGUUCUUGUAUGUUCUUUACUUUUUUUCCAUUAGAGCCUGUAAUGGCUAAUUUUAUAUGUCGAUUUUGAGGUUCCAAGAUGCUUGUUGAAAGUGAGGUAAAAUAUUUAAAGUGUUGAAAGAAACAAACAACCAUUAAAUUUUGUAGCUAAUGAAAUUAUUCUUCAAAAGUGAAGGAGAAAUAAGGUUUGUUCUCAUCAAAGGGUAUUUGUAGCCAUUAGACCCACCUCCAAAAAUGUUAAAAUAAAAUUGUCAGAGAAAAGGAAAAUGAUAUAGCUCAGAAAUUUGGAUCCAAAGAAAUAAAGAAUGUCAGAAAAGGGACAAGUAUAGAUUGGCUGACAGUAGACCAAAAAAAAAAAAAAGAAAUGUGGUAAAAUAAAAUCUUUUAAUUUUCUUAUUCUUAAUUACUUUGAUAGAUUAUUACUUUGUGCAAAGUAAUAUUAGCAACAAUGUGUUGGGUGGUUAAGUGAAAUGAAUGCUGUUAGUCUAGGAGGGAGGAAUUGGGAAUAGUCUUGUUAUACAUGGACUUACAUUACUUGUAAAUGUACAUGAAAAAUUCUAGGACAACUUUUUAAAAAAUGUAAAGAAAACAUAUAAUUGAUAUGCUAGAAGAAGAAAGAAAAUGGAAUCAUAUAAAAUGCUUAAUUAAAGCCAGACAAGGCAGAAAAAGAGAGAAUUUUUUUAAAAGAAAUAACAAUAAAAGAAAAAAAAAUAAAGGAAAUAAGAACAAGUGCAACAAAUAAAAAACAGCUACAAACGUGGUAGAAUAUCAGUGUAACUACAUCAACAAUCACUAAACCUGAAUAGUCUAAAUAUCAACUAAAAGAGACUGUCAGAGUGAUAAAACAAAGCAAGACCCCAACUAUAUGUUAAGAGCAAUCUUCUUUAAAUAAAAAGACCCAGAUAGAUUCAAAGUAAAGGAAUGGAGAAAGAUAAACUAUGCUGUCACUAAUCAAAAGAGGCCUAGAGCCACUGUGUUAAUUUCAGGGAAAGCAGAUUCAGAACAAGGAAAGCUGUCAGAGAUAAAGAAUGCAUAAUGAUAAAGGCAUCGAUUCUCUAAGAAAACACAGCAAUCUUUAACAUAUAGGCACUUCACAGCAGUGUCAAACUAUCUGAGGCAAAAACUGACAGAACUGCAAGAAGAAAUAGACAAUUCCGCUGAUAUAUUUGGAGAGGCCAAUACCCCUCUAUCAGUAAUUGACAGAUUCAGAAAAUGGAAAAUCAGGAAUUACAUCAUUUACCUGAACAGCCUCAUGAAUUGUCUGGAUUAAAUUGACAUUUAUAGAAUACUUCAUCUAACAACAGCAAGAAUACACAGUCUACACAAGCUCACAUGAAGCAUUCAGCAAGUGUUUGAUAUUGAAUGUUUGUGUCCCUCUAAAAUUCAUAGGUUGAAGCCCUAAUCCCUAUGUGACUGUAUUUGGAGAUGGGGCCUUGAAGGAAGCCAUUAAAGUUAAAUGAGGUCCUAUGGGUGGUGCCCCCAUCCAACAGGAUUGGUGUCUUUUUUUUCUUUUCUUUUGAGACCGGAUCUUACUAUGUUGCCCAGGCUGGAGUACAGUGGUGCAAACUCAGCUUACUGCAACCUCAGCCUCCAGAGCUCAAGUGAUUCUCCUAUCUCACCCUCCCGAGAAGCUGGUACUAUAGGUGCCCAGCUAAUUUUUGUGGUUUUUGUAGAGACAGGGUUUCCCCAUGUUGUGUAGGCUGAUCUUGAACUCCUGGGAUCAAAUGAUCCACCUGUAUCGGCCUCCCAAAGUGCUGGGAUUACAGGUAUGAGCCACGGCUCUCAGCUGCUUUAAUGUCCUUGUAAGAGGAGACACCAGAGCGCUUGCAUUCUCCGGUGUUCUCUCUGUCCCUUCCUCCCUCCCUCUCCACGUCCUGAGCUGGUGCACAAAGAGGAGGUCAUGUGACCACAAAGCAAGAAAGUGGCUGGCUGCAACCGGAAGGAAGAUCCCUCACCAGACACCAGCGUGGCUGGAACCUUGAUCUUGGACUCCAGAACUAUGAGAAAAUACAUUUUUGUUUUUUAAGCCACCUGGAGUAUGGUAUUUUGUUUUAGCAUCCUGAGCAGAUGAAGACAUCAAGAGAGAAGACAUCUGGGCAAUAAAACACAUUUUAACAAAUGUAAAAGAAUAGAAACCAUACAAAGUAGGACGUCAUAUCACAAUGGAAUUGAAACGGGCGCGUACCCGUGAGUGCCCUGGAGUUUAAGCUCCACUGGCUUCAGGCAAAUCUGCUUCUGCUGGUGGUUCCAUUUCAGGCAGGGCAGGUCAGCCUCUCUGUGCACAGCUGUCCAUUGUCCAUUGCAAACUUCUCUCUCUCUCUGUAGCUGGGCUCCACGACAUGCAAAGAAGGAAAUUCUAAAGUUACAAGGACUCAAGUCUCCAGGGCACAGCCAGCCAUUCUUGGUGACCAUUUGGAGACCUGGUGUAUUAGUCAGCGUUCUCUUAGAGGGACAGAACUAAUCAGAUAUAUGUAUGUUAUUAGUUAAGAUAUAUAUCUUAUAUAUGCAUAUAAGAUAUAUGUAUCUAUAAAGGGGAGUUUAUUAAGUAUUAACUUACACGACCACAAGGUCCCACAAUAGGCCAUCUGCAAGCUGAAGAGCAAGGAGAGCCAGCCCAAGUCCCAAAACUGAAGAACUUGGAGUCCAAUGUUUGAGGUUAGGAAGCAUCCAGCACGGGAGGAAGAUGUAGGCUGGGAGGCUAGGCCCGUCUCGACUUCCCACAUUUCUCUGCCUGCUUUAUAUUCGAUGGAAGCUGAUUAGGUUGUGCUCACCAGAUUAAGGGCGGGUCUGCCUUUCCCAGCCCACUGACUCAAAUGUUAAUCUCCUUUGGCAACACCAUCACACACACAUCCAGGAUCAAUACUUUACAUCCCUCAUUCCAAUCAGGUUGACACUUAGUAUUAAUCCUCACACCUGGCAACAGAGGAGAUUUCUGUAGCCAGGGAAGUGGGGAAGUGGAAUGUGUCUCACAGGAUGGUCUCGAAGAGACAUCAGAGUCUUCCCUCUGGCCUUGCAGGGGCCCAUGCAGGUAGCUGCAUGGAGCCCUUCUUUAGGUCAAGGUGAUGAUGUCACCUUCACUGACUUUUGGACUUCCUUGAGUCUGCAGGGGAGUGUCCAUCCAGCCUCACAGUGAGCAGCAGCAGCUGACCAGAUUGGAAGACAUUUCCAGUGUCUUCCCUGGCAGCUGUGAUGUGUUGUGAGGUGGCAGCUGAGGAUUGCCUGCACGUAAUCUUUGAGGUUCCAAGAUGCUUGUUGGAAGUAGACAAGCAGCAGAAAGGCCAGCAAGAUCCACGCUGGGUGGGGUGAAGUGGCGUGCGUGUCAGGGAAGUUGGCUUCGCAAACGAGGUUCAACAUCACUGAUUCCUGACCUGCAGCACCCAAAUGGCCACAAAGAGAUGUCCUGGGUUUUGAGGAGGCCACAGAGCCAACAGCUUUAGUGUCUUCAGAAGGAUGAAGAAAACUUGAACAACAUUCUUAAGUAGCUUUAUUGAGAUGUAAUUCACAUCCCAGAGAAUGCAUUCACUUAGAGGAUACAAUUCAAUGGAUUUUGUAUAUUCACAGAACUAUGCAUUCAUCAUUGCAAUUAAUUAUAGAACAUUUUCACUUACUGAAAAACCCCAACAUCCCUUAGCUAUUACUCUAAUUUCCCUAUCUCCCCCAGCCCUAGGUAACCAUUAAUCUUUUUUUUUGUAUCCAUAGAUUUGCCUAUCCUAGACAUUUCAUAUAAAUUGAAUCAUGCAGUAUAUGACCCUUCUUCACUUUGUGUAGCGCUUUCAAGGUAUAUCCAUGUGAUAUCAGUUCCUCAUUCCUUCUAUGGACAAAUAAUACUCCGUUGUAUGGAUCUACCACAUUUUAUUUAUCUGUUCAUCAGGUGGUGGACAUUUGGGUUGGUUUCUAUGUUUUUGGCUGUUAUGAAUGACGUCACCAUGAACAUUCAUGUACAAGUGUUUGUGUGGACAUGUGUUUCCAUUUCUCUUGGGCAUAUGCCUAGGAUUGGAAUUGAGUCGUAUGGUAACACUAUAACCAUUUGAGGAACUUCCAGACCGUUUUUUAAAGUGGCUACACCAUUGUACAUUCACACCACUAAUGUGCAAAGGUUCCAGUUUCUCCAUAUGUUUUUCAACUGUUUUUAUUAUCUGAUUUUUAAAUUAAAGCUAUCCUAGUGGAUGUGAAGCAAUAUCUCAUUAUGGUUUUGAUUUGUAUUUCUCUUAUGGCUAAUAAUAUUGAGGACCUCUUUAUCUGCUUAUUGGCCAUUUGUAUAUAUUUUGAAGGAAUUAUCUAUUCAGAUUCUUUGCUCAUUUUUGAGUUGGGCUAUUUGUCUUUUUAUUCUUGAGUUGUAAUUGUUCUUUAUAUAUUCUAGAUACAAGAACCUUAUUAUGUUUAUGAUUUGCAAAAUACUUUUUCCCAUUCUUUGGGUUGUCUUUUCACUGUUUUGAUAGUGUCUUUCGAAGCCUCAAAGUUUUAAAUUAUGAUGGUCAGUUUAUCUAUUUUUUCUUUUGUUGCUCAAGGUUUUGGUGUCAUAUCUAAGAAAACAGUGCCAAAUCCAGAGUCAUAAAGACUUAUCCUUAUGUUUUCUUCUGUGACUUUUAUAGUUUUAGCUCUUGUUUAUAGGUCAUUGAUGAUUUUGAGUUCGUUUUUGUAUACAGUGUGAGAUAUGGAUCCAACUUCAUUCUUUUGCAUGUGAAAAUUCAGUUGUCCCCACAUCAUUUGCUGAGGGGACUAUUCUUUUUCCAUUGAAAGAGGUUGGCACACUUGCUGAAAAUCAACUGGCCAGAUAUAUGGGUUAAUUUCUGGGCUCUCAAUUCCAUUCUGUUGAUGUAUAGAUCUGUUCUUAACCUCGUACCACAUGGUUUUGAUUACUGUCAUUUUGUAGCAGAUUUUAAAAUUGAGAAGCAUAAAUUAUCUAAGUUUUGGGUUUUCUUUCAUUUCCAUAUGCAUUUUAAAAGCAGCUUAUCCAUUGCUGUAGUUGAACUUUUGAUAGGAAUUGCAUUGAAUUUGUAAUCUGGGAGUAUUAUUAUCUUAAUAAUGUUAAGUUUUAAACAAGCCCAUUCAAAAGUGGGCAAAGGAUAUGAACAGACACUUUACAAAAGAAGACAUACAUGAGGCCAACAAACAUAUGAAAAAAUGCUCAUCAUUACUGGUCAUUAGAGAAAUGCAAAUCAAAACCACAUUGAGAUACCAUCUCACGCCAGUUAGAAUGGCAAUUGUUAAAAAAUCUGGAGACAACAGAUGCUGGAGAGGAUGUGGAGAAAUAGGAACACUUUUACACUGCUGGUGGGAGUGUGAAUUAGUUCAACCAUUGUGGAAGACAGUGUGGUGAUUCCUCAAGGACCUAGAAAUAGAAAUUCCAUUUGAUCCAGCAAUCCCAUUACUGGGUAUAUAUCCAAAGGACUAUAAUUCGUUCUACUAUAAGGACACAUGCACACGAAUGUUCAUUGCAGCACUGUUUACAAUAGCAAAGACCUGGAACCAACCCAAAUGCCCAUUGAUGAUAGACUGGACUGGGAAAAUGUGGCACAUAUACACCAUGGAAUAUCUUGCAGCAAUCAAAAAUGAUGAGUUCAUGUCCUUUGUAAGGACAUGUAUGAACCUGGAGAACAUCAUUCUCAGCAAACUGACACAAGAACAGAAAAUGAAAUACCGCAUGUUCUCACUCAUAGGUGGGUGUUGAACAAUAAGAACACAUGGACACAGGGAAGGGAGUACUACACACUGGGGUCUGUUGGGGGAAAAUAGGGGAGGGACAGUGGGGGGUGGGGAGUUGGGGAGAGAUAGCAUGGGGAGAAAAGCCAGAUAUAGGUGAAGGGGAGGAAGGCAGAAAAUCACACUGCCACGUGUGUACCUAUGCAACUAUCUUGCAUGUUCUUCACAUGUACCCCAAAACCUAAAAUGCAAUAAAAAAAUAAUAAUGUUAAGUUUUUUGGUCUAUGAACAUGGGAUGUCUUUCCAUUCAUUUAGAUUCUUUAGUUUUCAACAGUAUUUUGUAGCUUUCAGAGCAUAAGUUUUGUACUUCUUUUGUCAAAUAUAUUCAUAAGUAUCUGAUGUAAAUGGAUUUUGUUUUUAAAGACAAAGUCUUGCUCUGUUGCCCAGGCUGGAGUGCAGUGGUGUGAUCUUAGCUCACUGCAACCUCCCACUCCUGGGUUCAAGCAAUUCCCCUGCCUCAGCCUUCUGAGUAGUUGGGAUUGCAGGUGCCCACUACCAUGCCUGGCAAAUUUUUUGUAUUUUUAGUAGAGAAGGGGUUUCACCACGUUGACCUGGCUGGUCUCAAACUCCUGACCUCAAGUGAUCCACCCACCUCAGCCUCCCAAAGUGCUGAGAUUACAGGCGUGAGCCACUGUGCCCAGACUGCAAUUGUUUUCUUUUUUUUUUAUUGCAUUUUAGGUUUUGGGGUACAUGUGCAGAGCAUGCAAUACAGUUGCAUAGGUACACACAGGGCAGUGUGUUUUGUUUGCUUUCUCCCCUUCACCCACAUUUGGUAUUUCUCCCCUGGCAAUCCCUCCCCAUCUCCCCCUCCCACUGGCCCUCCCCUUUUCCCCCUAUAGACCCCAGUGUUUAGUACUCCCCUCUCUGUGUCCAUGCGUUCUCAUUUUUCAUCACCCGCCUAUGAGUGAGAAUAUGCGGUGUUUCAUUUUCUGUUCUUGUGUCAGUUUGCUGAGAAUGAUGUUCUCCAGAUUCAUCCAUGUCCCUAUAAACGACACUAACUCAUCAUUUCUGAUUGCUGCAUAAUAUUCCAUGGUGUAUAUGUGCCACAUUUUCCCAAUCCAGUCUAUCAUUGAUGGGCAUUUGGGUUGAUUCCAGGUCUUUGCUAUUGUAAACAGUGCUGCAAUCAACAUUCGUGUGCAUGUGUCCUUGUAGUAGAACGAUUUAUAGUCCUUUGGAUAUAUACCCAGCAAUGGGAUUGCUGGGUCAAAUGGGAUUUCUAUUUCUAAGGCCUUGAGGAAUCGCCACACCGUCUUCCACAAUGGUUGGACUAAUUUACACUCCCACCAACAGUGUAAAAGUGUUCCUUUUUCUCCACAUCCUCUCCAGCAUCUGUUGUCUCCAGAUUUUUUAAUGAUCGCCAUUCUAACUGGAGUGAGAUGGUAUCUCAAUGUGGUUUUGAUUUGCAUCUCUCUGAUGACCAGUGACGAUGAGCAUUUUUUCAUAUGAUUGUUGGCCUCAUAUAUGUCUUCUUUCGUAAAGUGUCUGUUCAUAUCCUUUGACCACUUUUGAAUGGGCUUGUUUAUUUUUUUCCUGUAAAUCUGUUUGAGUUCUUUGUAUAUUCUGGAUAUCAGCCCUUUGUCAGAUGGGUAAACUGCAAAAAUUUUUUCCCAUUCUGUUGGUUGCCGAUUCACACUAGAGACUGUUUCUUUUGCUGUGCAGAAGCUGUGGAGUUUCAUUAGGUCCCAUUUGUCUAUUUUGGCUUUUGUUGCCAAUGCUUUUGGUGUUUUGUUCAUGAAGUCCUUGCCUACUCCUAUGUCCUGGAUGGUUUUGCCUAGAUUUCUUUCUAGGGUUUUUAUGGUGCCGGGUCUUAUGUUUAAGUCUUUAAUCCAUCUGGAGUUAAUUUUGGUGUAAGGUGUCAGGAAGGGGUCCAGUUUCUGCUUUCUACACAUGGCUAGCCAGUUUUCCCAACACCAUUUGUUGAACAGGGAGUCCUUUCCCCAUUGCUUGUUUUUGUCAGGUUUAUCAAAGAUUGUAUGGUUGUAGCUACGUUGUGUUGCCUCUGAUGCCUCUGUUCUGUUCCAUUGAUCUAUAUCUCUGUUUUGGUACCAGUACCAUGCUGUUUUGAUUACUGUAGCCUUAUAGUAUAGUUUGAAAUCUGGUAGUGUGAUGCCCCCCGCUGUGUUCUUUUUGCUUAGAAUUGACUUGGCUAUGCGGGCUCUCUUUUGGUUCCAUAUGAAGUUCAAGGUGGUUUUUUCCAGUUCUGUGAAGAAAGUCAAUGGUAGCUUGAUGGGGAUAGUGUUGAUUCUGUAAAUUACUUUGGGCAGUAUAGCCAUUUUCAUGAUAUUAAUUCUUCCUAACCAUGAACAUGGAAUGUUUCUCCAUCUGUUUGUGUCCUCUCUGAUUUCGUUGAGCAGUGGUUUGUAGUUUUCCCUGAAGAGGUCCCUUACGUUCCUUGUGAGUUGUAUUCCAAGGUAUUUUAUUCUUUUUGUAGCAAUUGUGAAUGGCAGUUCAUUCUUGAUUUGGCUCUCUUUAAGUCUGUUAUUGGUGUAGAGGAAGGCUUGUGAUUUUUGCACAUUGAUUUUAUAUCCUGAGACUUUGCUGAAGUUGCUUAUCAGUUUCAGGAGUUUUUGGGCUGAGGCGAUGGGGUCUUCUAGGUAUAUUAUCAUGUCAUCUGCAAAUAGAGACAAUUUGGCUUCCACCUUUCCUAUUUGAAUACCCUUUAUUUCUUUUUCUUGCCUGAUUGCUCUGGCUAGAACUUCCAGUACUAUAUUGAAUAGGAGUGGUGACAGAGGGCAUCCUUGUAUAGUGCCAGAUUUCAAAGGGAAUGCUUCCAGUUUUUGCCCAUUCAGUAUGAUAUUGGCUGUUGGUUUGUCAUAAAUAGCUUUUAUUACUUUGAGAUACGUUCCAUUGAUACCGAGUUUAUUGAGGGUUUUUAGCAUAAAGGGCUGUUGAAUUUUGUCAAAUGCCUUCUCUGCAUCAAUUGAGAUAAUCAUGUGGUUUUUGUUUUUGGUUCUGUUUAUGUGGUGAAUUACGUUGAUAGACUUGCGUAUGUUGAACCAGCCUUGCAUCCCCGGGAUGAAUCCUACUUGAUCAUGAUGAAUAAGUUUUUUGAUUUGCUGUUGCAAUCGGCUUGCCAAUAUUUUAUUGAAGAUUUUUGCAUCUAUGUUCAUCAUGGAUAUUGGCCUGAAGUUUUCUUUUCUUGUUGGGUCUCUGCCGGGUUUUGGUAUCAGGAUGAUAUUGGUCUCGUAGAAUGAUUUGGGUAGGAUUCCUUCUUUUUGGAUUAUUUGGAAUAGUUUCAGAAGAAAUGGUACCAGCUCCUCUUUGUGUGUCUGGUAGAAUUCGGCUGUGAACCCGUCUGGACCUGGGCUUUUUUUGUGUGGUAGGCUCUUAAUUGCUGCCUCGACUUCUGCCCUUGUUAUUGGUCUAUUCAUAGUUUCAGCUUCCUCCUGGUUUAGGCUUGGGAGGACACAGGAGUCCAGGAAUUUAUCCAUUUCUUCCAGGUUUACUAGUUUAUGUGCAUAGAGUUGUUUGUAAUAUUCUCUGAUGAUGGUUUGAAUUUCUGUGGAAUCUGUGGUGAUUUCCCCUUUAUCAUUUUUUAUUGCAUCUAUUUGGUUGUUCUCUCUUUUCUUUUUAAUCAGUCUGGCUAGUGGUCUGUCUAUUUUGUUGAUCUUUUCAAAAAACCAGCUCUUGGAUUUAUUGAUUUUUUUGGAGGGUUUUUCGUGUCUCAAUCUCCUUCAGUUCAGCUCUGAUCUUAGUUAUUUCUUGUCUUCUGCUGGGUUUUGAGAUUUUUUGAUCUUGCUCCUCUAGCUCUUUCAAUUUUGACGAUAGGGUGUCAAUUUUGGAUCUCUCCAUUCUUCUCAUAUGGGCACUUAUUGCUAUAUACUUUCCUCUAGAGACUGCUUUAAAUGUGUCCCAGAGAUUCUGGCAUGUUGUGUCUUCGUUCUCAUUGGUUUCGAAGAACUUCUUUAUUUCUGCCUUCAUUUCGUUGUUUAUCCAGUCAACAUUCAGGAGCCAGUUGUUCAGUUUCCAUGAAGCUGUGUGGUUCUGGGUUGGUUUCUGAAUUCUGAGUUCUAACUUGAUUGCACUAUGGUCUGAGAGGCUGUUUGUUAUGAUUUCAGUUGUUUUGCAUUUGCUGAGCAGUGCUUUACUUCCAAUUAUGUGGUCAAGUUUAGAGUAGGUAUGAGGUGGUGCUGAGAAGAAUGUAUAUUCUGUGGAUUUGGGGUUCUGUAAAUGUCUAUCAGGUUUGCUUGCUCCAGGUCUGAGUUCAAGCCCUGGAUAUCCUUGUUGAUUUUCUGUCUGGUUGAUCUGUCUAAUAUUGACAGUGGAGUGUUAAAGUCUCCCACUAUUAUUGUGUGGGAGUCUAAGUCUCUUUGUAAGUCGUUAAGAACUUGCCUUAUGUAUCUGGGUGCUCCUGCAUUGGGUCCAUAUAUGUUUAGGAUCAUUAGCUCUUCUUGUAUCGAUCCUUUUACCAUUUUGUAAUGGCCUUCUUUGUCUCUUUUGAUCUUUGUUGCUUUAAAGUCUAUUUUAUCAGAGAUGAGGAUUGCAACUCCUGCUUUCUUUUGCUCUCCAUUUGCUUGGUAAAUCUUCCUCCAUCCCUUUAUUUUGAGCCUUUGUGUAUCCUUGCAUGUGAGAUGGGUUUCCUGGAUACAGCACACUGCUGGGUUUUGGCUUUUUAUCCAAUUUGCCAGUCUGUGUCUUUUGAUUGGUGCAUUUAGUCCAUUUACAUUUAGGGUUAAUAUUGUUAUGUGUGAGUUUGACACUGCCAUUUUGAUGCUAGCUGGCUGUUUUGCCCGUUAGUUGUUGUAGAUUCUUCAUUAUGUUGAUGCUCUUUAGCAUUUAGUGUGAUUUUGGAAUGGCUGGUACUGGUUGUUCCUUUCUAUGUGUAGUGCCUCUUUCAGGAGCUCUUGUAAAGCAGGGCUGGUGGUGACAAAAUCUCUGAGUGCUUGCUUGUUUGCAAAGGAUUUUAUUUUUCCUUCACUUCUGAAGCUCAGUUUGGCUGGAUAUGAAAUUCUGGGUUGAAAGUUCUUUUCUUUAAGGAUGUUGAAUAUUGGCCCCCACUCUCUUCUGGCUUGUAGAGUUUCUGCCGAGAGAUCUGCUGUGAGUCUGAUGGGCUUCCCUUUGUGGGUGAACCGACCUUUCUCUCUGGCUGCCCUUAGUAUUUUCUCCUUUAUUUCAACCUUGUUGAAUCUGACGAUUAUGUGCCUUGGGGUUGCUCUUCUUGCGGAAUAUCUUUGUGGUGUUCUCUGUAUUUCCUGCAUUUGAGUGUUGGCCUGUCUUGCUAGGUGGGGGAAAUUUUCCUGGAUAAUGUCCUGCAGAGUAUUUUCCAGCUUGGAUUCAUUCUCUUCAUCACAUUCUGGUACGCCUAUCAAACGUAGGUUAGGUCUCUUCACAUAGUCCCACAUUUCUUGGAGACUUUGUUCAUUCCUUUUUGUGCUUUUUUCUCUGAUCUUGGUUUCUCAUUUUAUUUCAUUGAGUUGAUCCUCGACUUCUGAUAUUCUUUCUUCUGCUUGGUCAAUUCGGCUAUUGAAACUUGUGCAUGUUUCGUGAAGUUCUCGUAUUGUGUUUUUCAGCUCCUUUAAUUCAUUCAUAUUCCUCUCUAAGGUAUCCAUUCUUGUUAUCAUUUCCUCAAAUCUUUUUUCAAGGUUCUUAGUUUCUUUACGUUGAUUUAAAACAUGUUCUUUUAGCUCACAAAAGUUUCUCAUUAUCCACCUUCUGAAGUCUAAUUCUGUCAUUUCGUCACAGUCAUUCUCCGUCCAGCUUUGUUCCCUUGCUGGUGAGGAGUUUUGGUCCUUUCUAGGUGGCGAGGUGUUCUGGUUUCAGGUGUUUUCCUCCUUUUUGCGCUGGUUUCUUCCCAUCUUUGUGGAUUUAUCCACCUGUCGUCUGUGUAGUUACUGACUUUUUGAUUGGAUCUCUGAGUGGACACCCAGAUUGUUGAUGAUGGAGUAUUUCUGUUACUUGGUUUUCCUUCUACCAGUCUAGCCCCUUCGCUGUACAACCGCUGAGGUCCACACCAGGCCCUGCUUGUCUGGGGUGCACCUGUAGCGGCUGCGGAACAGCGAGGGAUGCUACCAGUUUCUUUUUCUGCUAUCUUUGUCCCAGGAUGAUGUCUGCCGAAUGUCAGUCUUAUGGAUAUAGAGGGGUCAGGGAGUUGCUUGAGGAGACAGUCUGUAGGAGCUCAAGUGCUGAGCUGUGAGCUCUGUUGUUCAUUCAGGGCUGCUAGGCUGCUAUGUUUAGUUCUGUUGCAACCUAACUCAUAAGAAAACCCCUUUUUUUUCCUCAGAUGCUCUGUCUGGGGGGGGGGUUGGGGCUUUCCUUGUGAGUGUCCGCCUCACUGUCCUGCCCAGCUAGGAGGCAGUCUAGUCACUUUUUGCCUGCCGAGGCUCCGCCCUGCUGGUGUGAGGUUCGCCCUUUUCCUGCAGGCUCCGCCCUUCUGCUGUGGUCUCCGCCCUGUUGCCUCGGGCUACGCCCUGCGGCGGAGUCUCUCUGUUGUACCGGGUUGCCUCGCAGCGGCAGGCUGCGUCAGCAAUGGGCGUGUACCUCAGUAGGGGCUGAUUGCCUCGGUAAUGGCUGACGCCCCUCCCCCGCGGAGCUGCACUUUAAAAAAAAAACCUAUUCACCGGGAGCGUUUGGAAUCGCCGUUUUGUUUGUCGCACUGCGCUCCCCCAAACGCUGAGUCCCUGGGAUUUCCUGGGCUGGGUCACAGUUCAAGACCCGUUCAGUCUCAAGUUCAGCCCUCUCGGGUCUUAGUUUGCCGGUUCAACAGGGCACCCGUAACAGUGCGCUUUUGUAUGGAGCGCUGUGGAGUGCCUCUGUGCUCCGGCGCGGGCCAGAGCCGCACCGGUUACCGGCUACGCCAGCGGAGACCUCUGCCUGGCGUCCCGCGUCUCUUUUAUACCUGGGAAUUUCCCCGUUCUGUGGGCAACUAAGAUCCGUCUGGGAAUGCUUCCCCGACUCACCCUCUCCGUGCGCCCAGCGAGAGCUUCAAUCCUGGGUUGUUCUCUGCAAUUGUUUUCUUAACUUCAUUUUCUGUUUGCUCAUAGCUACAGUAUAAAAAUACAACUGAUUUUUGUACACUGAUCACAUAUCCUUGUAAACUUGCUGAACUCAUUUAUUAGUUUAAUCAUUUUUAGUGAAUUCCCUAGGAUUUUCUUGAACCCCCAGCCUCAGGUGAUCCACCUACCUUGGCCUCCAAAGUGCUUGGAUUACAGGCAUGAGCCACCACGCCCAGCCGAAUUCCUUAGGAUUUUCAAUGUACAAGAUCAUGUUAUCAGCAAAUGAAGAUAGUUGUACUUCUUCCUUUCCAAUAUGGAUUGCUUUUGCUUCAUUUCCUUGCCUCGUUGCCUGGCUGGCUUCUGUAGUAUAAUGUUGAACAGAAGUUGAGUGAACAGACAUCCUUGUCUUGUUCCUGAUCUUCUGGGGAAGGCAUUUUGUGUUUCAGCAUUGAGAGAAAACCCCUUAGCCAUGGCCUUUUCUAGACGUCCUUUAUCAGGUUGAGGAGACUGAGUUCCUUAGAGGAGAAGCUGUGUCAGCUCUGAGGUAAGGCACAGCAUCAUCAGCUUUCGGAGUCUGAAGUCCUGGCUGGCUGGGCAGUGAUGUCCUGAAGGAUGUGGACAUGCUGGACUGGAGCUCUGGAGAUUUGAGGGGAGGCCCCACUGCAGACCUGGGUAUGGGAAUAAAAAGGAUUUACACACCAGUCAAACAAAGGCACAUUGCCUAAAUGAAACGUUAACUUUAAUGCGUCCUAAGUUUCCAUACCUCCAAGUUUUAUGUAGUCUGCGUUUUUUGUUUUUUUGUUUGUUUUCUUGUUUUUUGAGACGGAGUCUCGCUCUUGUUAUCCAGGCUGGAGGGCAAUGGUGCGAUCUCGGCUCACUGCAACCUCUGCCUCCUGGGUUCAGGCAAUUCUCCCACCUCAGCCUCCUGAGUAGCUGGGAUUACAGGCACGUGCCACCAUGCCCAGCUAAUUUUUUGUAUUUUCAGUAGAGACAGGGUUUCACCUUGUUGACCAGGAUGGUCUCAAUCUCUUGACCUCGUGAUCCACCUGCCUCGGCCUCUCAAAGUGCUGGGAUUACAGGCUUGAGCCACUGCGCCCAGCCCGCGUUUUUUUUUUUUUUUAUUUUUAUUUAUUUUUUUUUUAUUGCCAAAUCAGGUAAAUUUAAAUUCGUUCUGUCUUAUUUUAGACAGGGUCUUGUUCCGUCGCCAAGGCUGAAGUGCAAUGAUACAAUCUCAGCUCACUGCAACCUCUGCCCCCUGGGUUCAAGGGAUUCUCCUGCCUCAGCCUCCCAAGUAGCUGGAAUUACAGGCAUCUGCCACCACGCCUGGCUAAUUUUUGUAUUUUUAGUAUAGAUGGGGAUUCAUUAUGUUGGUCAGGCUGGUCUUGAACUCCUGACCUCAGGUGAUCUGCCCGCCUCGGCCUUCCAAAGCACUAGAAUUACAGGCGUGAGCCACCGUGGCUGGCCUUUCAUUCUGUCCUUAUAUAACACAAUACACCUACCUCCUAUGCAACAGAAGCAUCCAACCUGCUUAUCAAAUAUGGCUAUCUACUCAAAACUCUAAAGAAUAUAAGAAAAAGAAAGGUAACUAGCUCCAAUAACAAAAUAUAGAUAUUAGUUACAAUUUUUUUGGCUUAGAAAAUCCCUUUGGAAAAACAAAGAAAAAACUCAUUGGGAUAUUUCCUCUUUCUGUAUAGAAUGAUAAGCCCUAAGAAAUGUAGGUGUUUUAUUUUGGCCUUAAAGCGAUAUCACUGACAAAUGAAAACCUACUGCUGAUGUCCUUUAUCAGAUUGAGGAGCCUGAGUUCUUCAGAAGAGGAGAGGUGUCCGCUCUGAGGUGAUGCACAGCAUUGUCAGCUUUCAGAGUCUGAGGUCCUGGCUGGCUGGGAGGAGGUGAUGUCCUAAAGGAUGUCCAUGAUGGGCUGGGGCUCUGGGGACUUGAGGGGAGGUCACGCUGCAGUCCUGGGUAUGGGAAUAAAAAGGCAAUAUCAAAGCCAGUAAUUGGACCAUGGGAGUGAACCAUCUCAGGAAGAGAAGAAUGGGUGGAGAAAAGAGCAUCAGGGCCAGAGACGUGGGAGAGGGGAGCCCGAGAACUGGUCAGAAGGAGGAGAAAAUCCAGCUCGUGCGGGGAGGAGAGAAGUGCCCCAGCAGCUGAAGACGGCGCCAGAGCCCACUAGCUGGGGGCACCCUACAGGAGAAUGGGCCAGACCCGCUAGGGGCCGCCGAGAGCUGUGCAUGCGGCCUCACGACACCAGGUGGCGCAGUGGACCAUUCUAACAGCCGCUCCUCUUAGCCCCGGUGGAUUCUUUUCAUUAAAGACGAAUGAGGUCGGGCGCUGUGGCUCAAGCCUGUAAUCCCAGCACUUUGGAAGGCCGAGGCGGGUGGAUCACGAGCUCAAGAAAUCGACACCAUCCUGGUCAACCUGGUGAAACCCCGUCUCUACUAAAAACGCAAAAAAUUAGCUGGGCAUGGUGGCGCGUGCCUGUAAUCCCAGCUGCUCAGGAGGCCGAGGCAGGAGAAUUGUCUGAACCCAGGAGGCGGAGGUUGCGGUGAGCCGAGAUCGCGCCAUUGCACUCCAGCCUGGGUAACAAGAGCGAAACUCCAUCUCAAAAAAAAAGACGAAUGAAUGAGCUGGGGCCUCGCCAAGCUCCUGUUUAACAGAUGGAGCCUCUAAAGGGGGCUAUGAGUUUCCUGAAAGCAUUAUGCGGAUAUUGCGGCAAAGGUGGGGCCACUUCUCACCUCCUGGUUCCUAUCCGAGACUCUCUCUCCAGUCAUCCCCCGACCUACCCCAAAGGGAUCUGGAAAAGUGGCUGGCGGAAUACCCAGUCAGGAGGCAGCCUGGAGGGACGUGAGGUCCACCAAGCCCACCCAGGUCCCUAGCACCAACCGCUUUUCAGUGUUGCCCGCGGUGAGAUCAUCUUCCUUGGCUUUCCCAUGGAUUCUCUGCCUCCGGUUCCCCACUUCCCCAUUCUCCUUCCACCCACAGACACAUGAUUUUCAGUUUAAGCUGAAUUGAGUCACUCCUGCCUGCCACGCCUACCCGGUAACAUCCCCUAGGCACUCAAAAGUGUUCUUUCCCCCUCAUUCAUCUCCCUCAUCGCAGCCACAUCCUGAACCUACACUCACUUUGAGAUUUGGUUGUUAAAGCAUGGCCUGCUUUAACAAUUCUUCAUGAAAGCUGCUGGUUUUGUCUGUAAUACUCCUCCUGCCCUCUUCCCUGCCCCCUAAUUAGUGUUUGGUCUCAGUUAGGACUUCCCUGACUUCCCCGGUGGCUUCUGUGGUGCAUCUCCCCUUUGCUUUGACCUCCCCGCCCUCUUUGUCAUGUUGCUUGUUUAGCAUCUUUUCCCUCUAGACUGAGGCUCCAGAGCAGUAUGCAGGGUCCAUGUUAGGUGCAGCCUGUCAUCAGCGUCCAGCCAUGGCUCUCUGCAGGUCAUGGGAACUAAAGGUGGCCAUGCUGGCAGGGCAAGAUAGGAGCUGGUGCCAGGAGUUACAGGGCAGUAUCUCGAGGACAGCCCUGCUGGGUUCUAAGAUACAGCCAAGAGUGUCUGGAAUGAUGGGCGGAGCAUCAACUGGUUUCAGAGUUUGAACAAAUGGUGUUCAGAACAGCACGGUCUGCCUGAAUGAUCAGCCAGAGUGCCCGGACUGAGGGUCCUACAGAAGGACACCCACUGUCACUCUCACUUCCAUAUUCCAGAACCAGGGAUAUUUUAGUGUGUGGGAAAGUAAAGCAAUCGUUGAGUUUGAUUUCCAUCCCAAGUAUUGGAAAAUGUGGGGGUGCAUCUGCAGUAGAUAAGUCUCAGCAGGGCCUUUGUUCUGACCCAGUCAGAGCUCAACCAGAAUUGGGGCCAAUAGAUCCUUGAGCCAGACAAUGAAAACAUGGAGGGACCCAUAUAGCUGAGGGGUGACAAGCAUCCAGCCACGCCAUUACUGUGGAUACGACGCUUGUUGGCCCAUAGGACAAACUCUUCAAAACAUCUCCCUCUCCCUCCCCGCUUGCAGCAGGUUGCAUCAGUGGGUGGUAAUAGAGGCCCUGAAUCUUCCCAGUGCAUGAGCAGGAAAGCUGAGGGGCUCCAUGAAUGCAAGUUUGCUACACAAAAGAAGUCACCUGUCUUUUUAUGGACAGAGACUUCUGGAAGCUUCAAGAAAUACAAAAUGAUCUAAAUGAGCUUUACUCCUUUCUAUUUGAUAUUUCAACAUUACAAAUAUUUAAAAUCUUUUUUCCAGGAGUAUUCAAAAUUGGACAAUAAAAAUUAGGCAGUCCAGGGGCCAGCCAUGGUGGCUCAUGCCUGUAAUCCCAGCACUUUGGGAGGCCAAAGUGUGUGGAUCACUUGAGGUCAGGAGUUCAAGACCAGCCUGGCCAACAUGGUGAAACCCCGUCCCUACUAAAAAAAUAAAAAAUUAGCUGGGCGUGGUGGUGGACACUUGUAAUCCCAGCUACUCAGAAGGCUGAGGCAGGAGAAUCGCUUGAACCUGGGAGGCAGAGGUUGCAGUGAGCUGAGAUCGUCCCAUUGCACUGCAGCCUGGGCAACAGAGCAAGGCUUCGUCUCACACAAAAAAAAAAAAAAAAAAGAAAAAGAGAAAAUUAGGCAGUCCUUUGUUUCUGUGGGAAGCUUUGACUCUGACAAACAGGAACAAGACUGUGGUCUUCAAAUCUGGCUCUUUGCCCUCAGCCAGAAUCUCCUCAAAAUCGUCAGCCCAAACUUACCCACUUCCUGAAGACAGAGGAUUCUUUCUAGUUGAGGGGAAUGUAAAGCAAUGUGCAGUGCAGGAAGUCACUGGUUCCUGCAUGGGAGAGGAGCGGGCAGAGAGAUGGGGGAGGGAUAGAAAAUCAGGACUGGCUCUCUAUGGAGGGGGACUGAGGAAAUUCUGGAGACACUUUGAAGUAGCUUCAGGCUGAGAUAGAUGUCAUCAGGAAAGCCCCUUCUAAAAGUGACUCCAAACGUUUUGGGAUAAAGGUGUUAAAAACAUAAACUAGGUCGCCAGGAAUAAGUAUAUAAAGUAGUGAGUGUGGGGGUCCAAAGGCAAUAUCAGGACAUUUGCCGUGCUCACUGGGCAGUGUAGGAACCGAGGUUGCACCUCCCGUGUGUGUGAACCCGAGAGGAGCUGCUCAUCUGUGAAGCAGGAGGUUGAAUGAGGUAGUUUCUCCAUGCCUCGUCUGUCCUCUGUGGGACUAAUAGUGGUCAUGCCGGGAGAGCUGGAGAGUUUAGCAAGACAGGAGGCCUGUCCCUUCUGACAUCACCUUAGCUCCCCACCUGGGAUCACAGUGCAUACUGUGUUCUUCAAUUUAGGCCAAGUUUGCAGACGAAAGUGAUAGAACCAUCGGCAAAAGAUGGAGAAGGGAAGGCCAUUGAUGUGAUAUUCUACUCAACCUUUUGUUCAAGGACAAGACGCUUGGUUUAGGCUGGAAUCUAUAGUUUGAUUAGCUUGGAAUCGGUGUGUGCUAUGGUCUGAAUGUUUGUGACCCCUAAAAGGUAUAUAUUGAAAUCUAAUCCCCAAUAUGAUGGCAUUUUAAGGUGGUGGCUUUGGGAAGUGAUUAAGUCAUAAAGGUCGAACCUUCAUGAGUGAGAUUAACACCGUCACAAAAGAGGCCCCAGAGAGCUCCAAUGCCCCUCUCACCAUGGGAGGACGCAGCAGAAAGACGGCCAUCUAUGAACCAGGAAGUGGUACCUCACCAGACACUGCACCUUGAUCUUGAACUUCCCAGACUCCAGAACAGGGAGAAAUACAUUUCUGUUGUGUAUACACCACCCACUCUAUGGUAUUUUGUUGUACCAACUCGAACACUUGUAGACAGUGUGUGUGUGUGAAAGUUUUGAAGGUCACCCCCUUUUUCAUUCUAUCGCAAUGGAAGCUUAUGCAGCUCCAGAACAAAAUCCCACAGUCAAAAGGUCUUUCGUCCAUCACUAUUUUAAAGACAGGGUUAUACAAUUCAAAUGAUCAGAUCUGUAAUAAUUAUCAUCUUUUAAAAAUAAUCUUUAUUGAGUAUAUAAUGGACGGCCAAAUUUUUUUAAAAAACAAAUAUGCAGCACAAUAGAGGUAUAUUUUCUUGGUUUCCAAAUUCCAUGUAAUAAACUCGUGACAACUGCCUUGAACACAAAAUACAGAGCCUCUGACUCAGAGACUUCCCCAUUAGAGUCUGAAACUCCAGCCCACACUUUGCUAUACCUUGGCAAGUCUCUGAAAACGUAGGGUACACACCUAUUUUGUAGAUUUCAGCAGUAAGCUGUUUUUCCAAAAUGUACAGAUAUGUACACAGACAUGAAAUGGGCUCGUCUGGCUUUUGAAACAUUUUAAAAUACCAUUUAAAUCACUAGGACAAUUACAUAUAUAAAAAAGCAACUGUUCACUUAUUGCUUCAGUUACCUAUAUUCUAUUCCUCUUAGCAUAAGACUGCCUUACCCCAGAUUCUAGGCCCAAGAGCUCUUCAUUGUAUUCAAUCUUAGUCCAUCCACUGCUCAUCUUUAAGUUCCACCAAAGAUACGAGAUCAAAUAAAAUCAAAACGUAUUUAUUUAAUGCCUACAACAGGCAACACCUUGAGAUGGAAUAAUGAAAUUCUUUCACUGAAGAGCUUAUAACUUGGUUACAGAUGUACACUUGAAUUACUCAUUGUUUUAGGGCUGAUGGCCAAGAUUCUUCCCACUUCAAAUGAGCCAGCCUGAUGGGACAUCUUGAUACAUUAUGAGUAACAGUCGAUGCAAAACUACUUUUUUAUUUAACUACUUACUGCUCUUGUUUUUUUUUUUUUUUUUUCUUGUGAGACAGAGUCUCACUGUUGCCCAGGCUGGAGCGCAGUGGCAGGAUCUCCCCUCACUGCAACAUCUGCCUCCUGGGUUCAAGCAAUUCUCAUGCCUUAGUCUCCUGAGUAGUGGGGAUUACAGGCACACACCACCAUACCCGGCUAAUGCCCAGACAAAUUUUUUUUUUUUUUUUUGAGAAGGAGUCUUGCUCUAUCACCCCCAGGCUGGAGUGCAGGGGCGUGAUCUCAGCUCACUGCAACCUCUGCCUCCCAAAUUCAAGUGAUUCUCCUGCCUCAGACUCCCAAGUAGCUGGGACUACAGGCACCCACUACCACGCCCGGCUAAUUUUUAUAUUUUUAGUAGAGACAGGGUUUCCCCAUGUUGGCCAGUCUGAUCUCGAACUCCUGACCUCAUGAUCCGCCCACCUUGGCCUACCAAAGUUGGCCUCUGGGAUUACAGGCAUGAGCCACCGUGCCUGGCCUAAUUUUCAUAUUUUUAGUAGAGACAGGGCUUUACCAUGUUGGCCAGUCUGGUCUUGAAGUCCUGGCCUCAAGCAAUCCGCCUGCUUCUGUCUCCCAAAGUGCUGGGAUUACAGGUGUGAGCCACAGCACAUGGCUUUGACUACUGUACUUAAUCAGCCUUAACUGACCCUCAGUGCAUAUGCCCUUGUCUUAGUCAUCGGUUGAGGUCAUACCGAUAAUUUAAGGUAGGAUUUCAUACGAGGAACCUAACAUUUUAAAUGAACUCAUUGUCAUACAUGUCAGUCUUUUACUGGAACUGAUUUUCUUCAAUAAGUCAAACAUAAGCCACAUAACAGAGGAUGGAAUGAAAACAUACUGCUUCUCUAGAACUUCCAAAUUCUUAGUGCACAGCUACGAUGAGGUAUCAAUGGAAUCGUUUUUUGUUUUCUGAAGGUACAUUUUGUAACAUUUCCAGCUACACAAAACUAUAAUGGCAGCAUCUGCCCAGUCUUGGAUGGCAGCCUAACACCAGUGCAAAGCUUCAGAUCUCACAUCUUCCAGACAGACAAAAAUCUAUUCUCUCUCUUCUUAUAUGUUUUAUUGAACAGCUCUCUGGAAAAAUCCAGUUUUUAAAAAAUUGCAACCCAAAGUAAAUUUCAGAUUUGUCGCACCAUAUUAUGCUAAUAUGUGAUGCUUUUCUUCUCUGCUAAAUGGGUUGAAAUUUAACAUUGGAAAUUAGUCCAAUCUAGUCAUUCGCAUAAUGAAAGUUAAACUAUAUUCAUCAGGCUGGGUGAAGUGGCUCACACCUGUAAUCCCAGCACUUUGGGAGGCUGAGGCUGGUGUAUCACUUGAGGUCAGGAGUUUGAGACCAGUCUGGCCAACACAGGGAAACCCUGUCUCUACUAAAAAUACAAAAAAUUAGCUGGGUGUGGUGGCAUGCACCCGUAGUUCCAGCUACUCAGGGGGCUGAGGCAGGAGAAUCACUCACUGAGGAGGCAAAGUUUGCAGUGAGCCAAGAUCACACCACUGCACUCCAGCCUGGGUGACAGAGACCCUGUCUCAAAACAAAAACAAAAACAAAACAAACAAACAAACAAAAACUAUGCGAGAAACAUAAUUUUUAGUCAAUAGAACUUGUGUGUGUGGUGUAAUGAAUAGUCUUCCUUCCUAAUUUAGUUUGGUUUUAUAUUGAGUGUUGGUUGUAGGCAAGGGUUACCCCAACCCAGAUAAAUACCCUGCUUCACAAAUACAAAUCCAUGCAUAAAAUGAUUUUGGAAAGUGGAAAAGGAGAAAAUAUAGAGCUGGAAGGUUGGACCAGGUGUUUCGCCUUCCAGGGGAAGGGGCAGGAAGUGAGAUGUGUUUUCAGGUGCUCUCUGAUGCACUAGAAUCUGCUACCCACUAUCUGAGAGCUGAGUGUGCAUCAUCUGGGUACCUUGUAUGAAAAGUUGGUACCUGGAAAAAGGGCACUUGUCCCACCGGCAGCAAACAUAGGGACCUUUGAGGGAAGUAUUUUGUCACCAUGUGUGUAUGAAGGAAAGGGCCCAUCGUCCCACAGUUCUUGCUUGGUAUACACAAGUGUACUAGUGCACUAAAAAAGCUCACUUCAUUCUAAGGGAAAUUCUGUUGAAUCAUGGGAUUAUUCUUCUUUGUCAGUGGACUUACUAAAGUGUCCUAAAGAAAGGAUGAAAAAAUAACUCACACUUGAAUGCUGUAAACCUGAUGAGUCACCAUUGCUUAAUCUUCCUACAAUGCUGGCCUAAAAGGUUCUCUUGAAACAGUAAAGGGCAAAUUCUACAAUCCCUUUUAUAUAUAACGAGGUCCCAAAGUGAUAGGGUUAGAAUGUAGCCAAAACAAAGUGAUCCUUGGUUUUAGAAAUCUUUAACAGGCUGGACAUUGUGGCUCACACCUGUAACCCCAGCACUUUGGGGGCUGAGCCAGGAGGAUUACUUGAGUCUAGGAGUUCAAGACCAACCUGAGAAACAUAGUGAGAACCUCAUCUCUACAAAAUAUUAAAAACUAGCUGGGUGUGGUGGUGCACACCUGUAGCUUUAGCUACACAGGAGGCUAUGGUGGGAGGAUCGCUUGAGCCCAGGAGGCAGAGGCUGCAGUGAGCCAAGAUUGUACCACUGUACUCCAGCCUUGGGAAUAGAGUGGGAGCCUAUCUUUAAAAAACUAGUAAUCUUUAAUAACCUAGACUGCAGUGUGACCAUCACUUUUUUUCUCUGUUAUAACUAAGGCCUUAUCUGCUAUGCAAAUCACUGGUAACCAAGAGGUCAUCAUUCACUAAAGAAGCAGUCCAGGCAAUAGACAGGUUUGACAAGUGAUUUCAAUUACUGAGUCCAACAACUGAUGAGCACCCCAGAGUUUAUGGAAAUAGUCACUGCCAGUGCCUUACAGACAUGUUCUUAGAGGGAUGAAGACAGCAAGGGAACACCUACAACACAUGAAGUUGUUGAUAAGAUCUGGUUAGCUUUUUUCCUUAGAGAAGAAAAAAGAAUGAAAAAGAAAUGAACAUUGACUACAAGACAGAAAAUUACCUUAAAAGACCAAAUCUAAGAAUUACUCAUGUUAAAGAAAAAGUUGAGCAAGAGCAAAGAGUAGAAAACUUAUUAAAAGAAAAACAGUAAUAGAAAAACUUUCCAAAACUUGAGAAAGAGAUAAAUAUUCAGGUACAGGAAAGUCAGAGAACACCAAACAGAUUCAAACCAAAUAAGUCUACCCUGAGGCAUAUAAUGAUCAAACUGUCAAAGAUCAAGAACGAAGAAAGCAUCAAAAAGCAGCAAGAGAAAAGAAUCACAUAUAAAGUAGCACCAGUUUCGUAAGAUUUAUCAACAGAAACCAUACUUCUCAAUAGCCAUGGAAGAAAAGGAGACAGUUUCAAAAUGCAGAAAAAAAGAAAAUCUGCCAUCCAAAAAUAUUGUAUUCAGAAAAGCUACCCUGCUAUCCCUCAAAUAUGAAGGAGAGAUAAAAGCCUUUCCCAGACCAAAAAAAAAAAAAAAAAAAAAAAAAGUGGAGAGAAUUCACCAUCAUCAUAUUCACCUUACAAGAAAUGCCAAAGGGAGCUCUUCGAUCUAAAAGAAAAAUAUUGGCUGUGAGUGGUGGUUCAUGCCUAUAAUCCCAGCAUUUUGGGAGGCCAAGGUGAGAGGAUUGCUUGAGCUCAGGAGUUCAAGGCCAGCCUGUGCAGCAUGGCAAGACCCUGUCUCCACAAAAAACAAUUUGCUGGGCAUGGCAGUGCCUGUAGUCCCAGCUACUUGGGAGGCUGAGGCAGGAGGAUUGCUUGAGCCCAACCAUUUGAGCCUGCAGUUAGCUAUAAUAGUGCACCACUGCACUCCAGCCUGGACAACAGAGCUAAACCCUUUCUCAAAAAAAAAAAAAAAAGGAAAAGAAAAGAAAAAACCCACUAAUGGGCAAAAAGAAAAUAUUUAAAGCUUUAAAACCCACUGGUAAAAUUAAAUACAGGGACAAGCCCAGUAUUACUCUAAUAUUGCAAUUAUGGUAUAUAAUCCACAUCAUAAGUAUAGUAUAUAAAUCUAUCUAGUAUAAAGCCCCAAAAACAAAUCAAUCAAAACCAAUAAUAGUUAUAGCAAUCUGUUAAGAGAUAGGGAAUAUAAAGAUAUAUAAAUUGAGAUAACAUAAAGCCAAAAUGUGGGGAGAAUGAAGUUAAAAUGUAGAGUUUUGUUUUUUUUUUAACUUUUUUUUCAUUGUAUAAGUCAGGGUUUCACCAUGUUGGUCAGGCUGAUCUUGAACUCCCAACCUCAGGUGAUCCUCCCACCUCGGCCUCCCAGGAGAUUUUUUUGAUUUUGUUUUUGUUUUUACAUUUUUCUUUGUUUCUAGUAUUUUCUGUGUGAUCUAAGUUAUUAUUUCUUUAAAAUAACUUAUAUCCAUAAAAUUUUUUUUGUAAGCCCUAUGGUAACCACAAUGCAAAAGCCUAUAAUAGAUUUACUAAAAAUAAAAAGCAAUGCAUUAACACAUACUAUCAGAGAAAAUCACUUAACCACAAAGGAAGACAGUAAGAAAGGAAGAGAGGAGUUACAAAACGGCCAGAAAACAAGCAACAAAAUGGCAGUAGUAAGUACUUACCUAAACAAAAACACUGAAUUUAAAUGGACUCAGUUCUCCAAUUUAGACAUAGAAUGGCUAAAUGGAUAAAGAAAUAAGACCUGACUAUAUGCUGCCUACAAGAAAACCAUUUCACUUCUAAUAUGAAGGGAUGGAAAAAGAUAUUCUAUGUAAUUGGAAACCAAAAAAAACCAGCAGGAGUCAGUAGCUUUACUUAUAUCAGAUAAAACAGACUACAGAUCAAAGACUGUAAAAAGAGCAAAGAGGUAAUUCGGCAAGAGGAAACAAGUUUAAAUAUCUAUGUACCCAAAGGAAAUAAGUAUAAAUACCUUGUAUCUGACAACAGAGCUCCCAAGUAUAUAAUGCAAACAUGAAUAGAUCUAAAGGGAAAGAUAGACUGCAAUACAAUAAUAGUAGGAGACUUCAACACUCUACUGCCAGUAAUGGACAGGUCAUCCAGACAGAAAAUCAAGACACAUUGGAGAUAAACUACACGCUAGACCAAAUUAGGCCUAACUGACACAGAACAUUUCACCCAACUGCUGCAGAAUACGUUUUCUUCAUCAGCACAUGGAACAUUCUCCAAAACAGACUGCAUGUUAGGUCACAAAACAAGUCUCAACAAAUGCAAAAAAGUACAAAUCAUAUCAAGUAUAUUUUCUGACCGCAAUGGAAUAAAACUAGAAAUCAAUAACAAGAGGAGCCUUGGGAAAUACACAAACACAUAGAAAUUAACACACUCCUGAAUGACUUACGGUCAAUGAGGAAAUUAAGAAAAAUUUUUUAAAUUUCUGGAAACAAAUGAAAAUGAAAAAUGACAUGCCAAAAUGUGUCGCAUACAACAAAAACAGUACUAAGAGGGAAUUUUAUAGCAAUAAAUGCCUGUACUGAAAAGGUAGAAGAAAGACUUCAAAUAAACAACCUAAUGAUAUACCUCAAGAAACUAGAAAAGCAAGAACAAACUAAACUCAAAAUUAAAAAAAAAUAUAAUAAAGUUCAGAGCAGAAAUAAAUGGAGACUAAAAAAUAUAGAAAAUCAAUGAAAUGAAAAGAUAUUUUUUCAGAUAUUAACAAAAUUGACAAACCUUUAGCUAAAUUAACUAAGUAAAGAGAGAAGACUCAAAUAAAUAAAAUUAUAAAUGAAACAGGAGACAUAAUAACUGACACCACAGACAUACAAGAAUCAUUAGAGGCUAUUAUGAAUAACUACAUGCCAACAAGUGGCAAAACCUAGAAGAAAUGGGUAAAUUCCUGGACACAUACAACCUACCAAGAUUGAAACCAUGAAGAAAUAGAAAAUUUCAACAAACUAAUAAUGAAUAAUGAGAUUGAAGUCAUAAUAAAAUGUCUUCUAUUAAAGAAAAGUCUAGGACCUGAUGGCUUUAUUGCUGAAUUCUGCCAAACAUUUAAAGAAAAAUGAUGACCAAUACAAAUGCUUCAUAAGAAUUGAAGAGAAGGGAAUAUUUCCAAACUCAUUCUGUAAGGCUUGCAUUACCCUGAUACCAAACCGAAGACACAACCAAAAAAGAAAACUAUAGGCCCUAAUCACUGAUGAACAUUGAUGCAAAAAUCCUCAACAAAAUACUAGCAAAUGGAAUUCAACAACACAUUAAAAAGAUAAUUCAUCAUGAUCAAGUAGGAUUCGUUCUAGGAACGCAAGGAUGGUUCAACAUACAAAUCAAUAAACACAAUAUAUCACAUUAAGAGAACCAAGAACAAGAACAAAUUAUUUCAAUAGCUGCUGAAAAAGCAUUCAAUAAAAUUAAACAUGACUUUAUGAUAAAAAAAAAAGACCCUUCAACAAACUAGGUAUAGAAGAAAUGUACUUCGAAAUAAUAAAGACUAUGUAUGAAAAACUCAGCUAAUAUCAUACUGAUAGGGAAAAACUGAGAGCCUUUUCUUUAAAAUCUGGAACCAGACAAAGAUGGCCACUUUCACUACUUUUAUUCAACAUACUAUUGGAAGUUUCAGGGCAAUAAGGCAAGAUGAAGAAAUAAAGGGCAUGUAAAUUGGAAAGAAAGAAAUUUAAAUUAGCUUUGUUGGCAGAAGACAUGAUAUUACACUUAGGAAAACCUAAAGACUCCACCAAACAACUGUUGAAACUGCUAAGUGAAUUCAGUAAAGGUUCAGUAUACAAAAUCAACAUACAAAAAUCAAUAGCAUUUACAUCUGCCAAGAGAAACAAUCUGAAGUAUCCAUCUGAUGAGGGAUUAAUAACCAAACUAUAUAAGGAGUUCAAACAACUCAAAAGCAAAAAAAAAAUCUGAUUUUAAAAUGGGCAAACGAUGUGAAAAGGCAUUUCUCAAAAAAAAAAAAAAAAGACAUAGAGGAACAAGAGGUAUAUGAAAAAAAUGCUUAAUAUUACUAAUAAUCAGAUAAUACAAAUCAACAAUAUAAUCUCACCCCAGUUAAAAUUGCUUUUAUAAUAAAGACAGGGAAUAGUAAAUGCUGGCAAGGAUGUAGAGAAAGGGAACCCUUGUGCAUUGUUGGUGGGAACAUAAAUUAGUACAACCACUACGGAGUAUCAUAUAGAAGGUCCUCAAAAAACUAAAAAUAGAAUUACCAUUUGAUCCAGCCAUUCCACUACUGGUUAUAUAUCUGUAUUAAUCCGUUUUCAUGCUGCUGAUAGACAUACCCAUGACUGGGAACAAAGAGGUUUAAUUGGUCUUGCAGUUUCACAUGGCUGGGGAGGCCUCAGAAUCAUGGUGGGAGGCAAAAGGCACUUACAUGGCUGUAACAAGACAAAAUAAGGAUGUAAAAGCGGAAACCCCUGAUAAAACUAUCAGAUCUUGUGAGAUUUAUUCACUAUCAUCGGAAUAGUAUGAGGAAAACUGCCCCCAUAAUUCAAAUUAUCUCCCACAGGGCCCUCCCACAAUACAUGGGAAUUAUAGGAGUACAAGUUGAGAUUUGGGUGGGGACACAGAGCCAAACCAUAUCAAUACCCAAAAUAUAAGAAUCAACAUGUUGAAGAGAUAUCUACACUCCCAUGUUUAUUACAGCACUAUUUACAUAGCCAAAAUAUGAAAUCAACCUAAGUGUCCAUCAGUGGAUGACUGGAUAAAGAAAAUGUGGUGUAUAUAUGCAAUGGAGUAUUAUUCCACCAUGAAAAGUUGAAAUCUUGUUAUGUGCAGCAAGAUAGAUGGAACUGGAGGUGGUUAAGUGAAAUAAACCAAACACAGAGAGACAAAUAUCACACAUUCUCAUUCCUAUGUGGGAGCUAAGAAAGUGGAUCUCAUGAAGAUGAAGAGUAGAUUGGUGGUUACCAGGGGCCAAGAAGGGUAGGGAGAAAUGAAGAGAGGUUGAUUAAUGGGUACAAAUAUACAGUUUGAGAGAAGAAAUAAGACCUAGUAUUUGAUAGGUCAGUAGAAUACCUAUAGUUUACAAUAAUUUUUUUGUAUUUCAAAAUCACUAGAAUUAAAAUGUUUCUACCAUAAAGACAAAUAUUUAAUGUGAUAGAUAUCCCAAUUACACAGAUUUGUUCCUUAUUACCUGCAUGUAUUAAAUUAUCACAUUGACCCUCAAAAUAUGUACAUCAUUAUGUAUCAAUCAAAACUUAAAAUGAAAAAAAUCCCUAAAACUGAAACUAUUUGCAGCUCAAAGUUCUACUAGUAUGUUAAAAUACAGAACAUGUGUAAGUCUUCCUAAGUUGUCUCAGAACCAGUGACUUCAUUUGUCGGAGGGUGUGCACGCAGGUCUAGCAUGCCAUACCAAGCUGUUAGGCAUGACAGUGAAUUCUCAGUUACUGGAGCUCUAACUUGGAACACCCAGAGGCAUCUAGCGAAGGUCUGUUUUCAGAAGAGUGUGUGGGGGUUGGGGGGUAACGGGAUGCAGCUCUGAAGUGAAAAUGAACUUCCAACAAAUGAAUGCCCAGUGUUAAAAGUUCUUGAGAAUGACCUACAGCCAACUCUUGUUGGCUUGUGGACUUCACAAAAGGUCUACAAAAAUAUGCCUUUUUAGGAUUCCUACUUACCGCCUGAGUAAGUAAAAGUUGAGAGCCACGAGCAAAACAACCUAAAGAUGCAAGAAGGGUCUUGAGGGGAGGAGGGGUGGGGCCGGGAGCGGGUCUGAGUUGCUACAAGCUGACCAAGUGCAAGCUUUGAGCGCUACACAUCCUAGCAGCCUUGAGAAGCAGGUGAGCAAGUCUCCUCACACCAGCAAGGCGUUGCUCACAGCAUUAAGAAUGUUGCCUGAGGAAGUUGGGGCUUCUACAAUUAGACCCUGAGGGAUGUCGGGGUGGGGCUGUGUGGUGUAAGCCCAGCCCCACCUGAGCCACAAGGGAGCUGUGGGCCAUCUUCCAGUCUCAAUUUUCGAAACUGUCAUUUGAUGGGUGAUAAUGUUAAAACAUUUUGUCUUAAAGAAGCCGUAGCUUAUAGAGUAGAAAGUAAAAUUCAUACAAAAAUAUUUGUAAAGACACAAAACCAGAAAAAUACAACUUUUGCUCUGCUGGCCACUCUGAGCAGGAUCCCAGAUCCCUGGAGAUUGAAGGGACUCUGCUUUGAAUGCUGUGACCUGAGUCCUGGCCCUGCAUAUGCCGAGGAGGAGGGAGAUGGGAACAUGCUGGGAUGGGCUGGGGGUCCAUGUUGCACUGGGGCUGCACAAGCAGUUGCAGGAAGGGAGAGUGGAGGGAGGUGGCAUUAGUGACAACAGCCACAGAGUGGAGAACAGCGAUGAAGGCAGCCGAGUCUGGGGCACACUGGGAACAGAGUAGCAGCAGAUCUUCUGAUAUCAGAGGCUAGAGCUGUUAAGAGACAGAAGCUAGGGCCAGCCUUUCCUUGGGGAGGAAGCCACCAACACCUAGCAUCUCUCCAGAAGGGUUCACAGUUGUCUGGGCUGAAGCAGCUUGCAGGACAAGGGACCUUAAUUCUCUGUCCCUCACUACUGGGAUCCACAGAGAGACCUCCACCUAGCAGCAGCAUCCAAGAAGGACAUUUUGGGUAGACUCAUAGACAUAA